UAUUAGUGUAUCUGCAUUUUGAUUUAUAAGUAUAUUUAAGCUGUGAAGAGUUUCAUUAUUAUAAAACUUUGGGAAUUAUAAAACUUUGGGAAAUUGGAUGAUGAUAUUUCGCAUUGCUAUACGAAUACUUUUAUUUUUAAUUGGUUCGUUUAUGUGAUGGUUGUCUUUGCUUAUAUUCAUAUUCUAGGGUCGGACCAUGGCUGCAGAUGUUAAACAUUGCCGACUGCAUCAGAAAUUUAGUAAUCAAUUUUGUCUAUGAACAUUAACAAAUAUAACUAAAGAUAACUGCACUCGAGAUAGUAUGUUCCAAAUUGGUUUCCUGGGAAUUUGAUCUCUACCUGUCAAACAUUAGCGUUCGAUCUAAAAACACAUGAAUGACAACUAUAUCAUGACCUAUAUUUCUGUUGAUGAUUUUCCUAUGAAAAUUACCUACUAACAUUUGGAAUUUCAUCGGAUGAACUAUUCUAAUUGAAAGUUUGGGCUUGAUCUUAAUAGAUGGAAAUGUAAGUAUUUAUUAUAGAGUGUAAAAGUGGAUUUCUCUUUCUCUUUCUGUUUAAAUAAGAAUUACAUUUGAGAAUAUUUCAAGAGAAUUCUAUAGCUGAUAAUAAUAUCAAGUGAGCAUCUGGGCACCUGAUGUACAUAAAGGUAAGAUUUGUCUACACAACAUGUUCAUUUACGUAGUUCACAAGAGUUUUGUUAACCAUGAAUGCUAAGUGGUUUUGUUUACGCGGGUCAUUUACAAUGAACGUGGUUUUAUUUACAUGCACAUAAAAGUAAAGUCGAUUGGAAAUAUCCGUCGUUUUGAUAACCAUGACUUGAAAUAUACAAUGAUUCUCUGUAGUUUUGUUAAAAAAAUUUUUUUGGUGGUUUUGUUUGUUUUGCGCAAUGUUGGCUUGGCGUACAAAGGCUUUACUGGAUUUGUUCAUUUUGUAGAUCUGUAUUUAGUUGAGUUGAAGUGGAAAGUAGAGUCUACUACUAUUGUACAUGUUUAUGGACGCUUUAGUCUUUGACAUGGCGACUUAUUAAAUAUAAAUGCUCAUUUUGGGACAUCUUUUACAUUGUUAAAAAUGUGCAACUAUUUAUUGGCAAGCAGUGAUGCAUCCACUGAUUCCACUUGCUAAUCCUUUGAAAGAAAAGCAUUCGUCACUUUUUUAUGUUGAGGAGAUCAGCAAACUAUGCAACAGAUCAAGGAGACUUAACCAGUGUACAGCUUUUUUAGAGUUGCAUAUUGAGCAAGGUCCAUUAAUUGCUAGAACGAAGUGUGACUAUUUUUCUACUGUAGGAUCUGUGGAAGCGUCUAAUAUAAGGGUAGGUUCAGAAUGCAGUUUGGUUUUGAAGUUUUAAUUUCGUCUUGCAUAAUCUGUUUGUAUUCAUAUAUUGAUAGUUCUGACCUCAUUGUGAGAAUGACGAUCUCUUCCAAUCAGGAGAGCAGGUGUAGUAAACAUGAUCUCACAUUAGUAUAUCUUCCCAGCUAUAUGUCAUGCCGUUCUAUCUUUUUUUCUCUCCAUGUUGCAUCUGUCCGGCGAAAGCUGACCUUUUCUUUGCCAAUUUUCAGUUUUCAGUGGUUGAUCAAUCGUUUUAUGUCUGGUUUGACAUGAAGAGGCUUAGGUACUUUUUGGUUUUUUUAUCAGCCUAAUUUUUGAUUGGUGUUGGUUGGUACUGGUGACGGUGGUGUAUAGGACUGUGCUAACGGAGGAAAUCCCAAGUGUUUUCAAUGGCCCUGAUCAUGCAUUGGUUUGGAAAAGGAGUUGAUGGUAAUGGAAUUUAUGCAGGAUUGACGAGUUCAGGCGAGGUUUACAUGAUAUUUCUUAUUUAGAUGAUGGUGCAAUUGCCAUGGCUCGAGCUUAACAAUGAUAUGGAUUAUAUUUCUUUUGCAUUAACUACAAUGCCUUGCAGACUGGAGAGCUAAUCCAUAUUUCCUACACACACCUGUCCCGUUUGGCUUCAGGUUGUUUUACAGUUGUUUUUCAGUACCCAACUUCGUGGUACUGCCUCCGGUUAUUUAGGGAACAUUGAUUCUGUCUGGUGCGAUGUCAGAUUGGAGCUGGAUUAAUGUUUGAAUUAAUAUAUGUUCUUUGUUUUUACAA
Molecule: RNA transcript, 2087 nt
Organism: Papaver somniferum (opium poppy)
Lineage: Eukaryota; Viridiplantae; Streptophyta; Magnoliopsida; Ranunculales; Papaveraceae
Exons: 4
Source: RefSeq, a predicted model, not a curated record